This 433-nucleotide ribosomal RNA is filed under the name uncultured bacterium. RNAcentral's name for it is "partial 16S ribosomal RNA". It matches the Rfam family "Bacterial small subunit ribosomal RNA", at positions 29 to 507 of the family's 1533-position model. The record is from RNAcentral.
AACGAACGCUGGCGGCAUGCCUAACACAUGCAAGUCGAACGAGACCUUCGGGUCUAGUGGCGCACGGGUGCGUAACGCGUGGGAACCUGCCCUUAGGUUCGGAAUAACUCCCCGAAAGGGGUGCUAAUACCGGAUAAUGUCUUCGGACCAAAGAUUUAUCGCCUUUGGAUGGGCCCGCGUUGGAUUAGCUAGUCGGUAGGGUAAAAGCCUACCAAGGCGACGAUCCAUAGCUGGUCUGAGAGGAUGAUCAGCCACACUGGGACUGAGACACGGCCCAGACUCCUACGGGAGGCAGCAGUGGGCAAUAUUGGACAAUGGGCGAAAGCCUGAUCCAGCAAUGCCGCGUGAGUGAUGAAGGCCUUAGGGUUGUAAAGCUCUUUUACCCGGGAUGAUAAUGACAGUACCGGGAGAAUAAGCUCCGGCUAACUCCGUG